CAGGAGAGACACACUUUCUCUUUCAUGCUUCCGGUCCGGUCUUGGAAAGCGGCCGACUCACCCGGGUUGCCAGUUUCUCUUGAGAAGUCCUGCAAGCUGGCAACCAUAAGAGAAAACUUUAAAUCCUUGAGUCAUCUGCACUGAGUGAAGAGAAGUCCUUGCAAUCUAUUAGAUGCUCAAUAGACACUUGUUUAGUAAUCAGGCAAAGUGAAGGAUGGAUCAUCCACAUCUAAAGCUGUAGUUUAUACUUCUUUAAGAUUCCCCAACUGUCCUAUGUCCUUGUGGGCCUGCAUUCAAUAAAUCUCACUGACACUA
Long non-coding RNA from Mesocricetus auratus (golden hamster), 315 nucleotides. RefSeq lists it as uncharacterized. The record is from RefSeq and is a predicted model, not a curated record. Lineage: Eukaryota; Metazoa; Chordata; Mammalia; Rodentia; Cricetidae. The transcript is spliced from 2 exons.